Molecule: ribosomal RNA, 677 nt
Filed under: bacterium SL3.51
Lineage: Bacteria
Description: bacterial SSU rRNA
Rfam family: Bacterial small subunit ribosomal RNA
Source: RNAcentral
GCAGUCGAGCGGACUGAUUAAGAGCUUGCUCUUAUGACGUUAGCGGCGGACGGGUGAGUAACACGUGGGCAACCUGCCCUGUAGAUCGGGAUAACACCGAGAAAUCGGUGCUAAUACCGGGUAACAUCUGAGAUCACAUGAUCUUAGGUUAAAAGAUGGCUCCGGCUAUCACUACAGGAUGGGCCCGCGGCGCAUUAGCUAGUUGGUAAGGUAAUGGCUUACCAAGGCGACGAUGCGUAGCCGACCUGAGAGGGUGAUCGGCCACACUGGGACUGAGACACGGCCCAGACUCCUACGGGAGGCAGCAGUAGGGAAUCUUCCGCAAUGGACGAAAGUCUGACGGAGCAACGCCGCGUGAGUGAUGAAGGGUUUCGGCUCGUAAAGCUCUGUUGUUAGGGAAGAACAAGUAUCGUUCGAAUAGGGCGGUACCUUGACGGUACCUAACCAGAAAGCCACGGCUAACUACGUGCCAGCAGCCGCGGUAAUACGUAGGUGGCAAGCGUUGUCCGGAAUUAUUGGGCGUAAAGCGCGCGCAGGCGGUCUUUUAAGUCUGAUGUGAAAGCCCCCGGCUCAACCGGGGAGGGUCAUUGGAAACUGGGAGACUUGAGUACAGAAGAGGAGAGUGGAAUUCCACGUGUAGCGGUGAAAUGCGUAGAUAUGUGGAGGAACACCAGUGG